Molecule: ribosomal RNA, 253 nt
Filed under: uncultured bacterium
Lineage: Bacteria
Description: partial 16S ribosomal RNA
Rfam family: Bacterial small subunit ribosomal RNA
Source: RNAcentral
UACGAAGGGGGCUAGCGUUGUUCGGGAUUACUGGGCGUAAAGCGCGCGUAGGCGGGUCAUUAAGUCAGUGGUGAAAUCCCGGGGCUCAACCUCGGAAUUGCCUCUGAUACUGGUGACCUCGAGUCCGUGAGAGGUGAGUGGAACUCCGAGUGUAGAGGUGAAAUUCGUAGAUAUUCGGAGGAACACCAGUGGCGAAGGCGGCUCACUGGCUCGAUACUGACGCUGAGGUGCGAAAGCGUGGGGAGCAAACAGG